Homo sapiens (human) is the source of this 1623-nucleotide long non-coding RNA. RefSeq lists it as uncharacterized. The record is from RefSeq and is a predicted model, not a curated record. The transcript is spliced from 8 exons. Lineage: Eukaryota; Metazoa; Chordata; Mammalia; Primates; Hominidae.
CAUUCUCUGCCUAACUCUCCAGGCAGCUACUACCAAUCAAUUAAAGUUGGCAUGUGAGAGGAUAUCUAUUCAACAUCAUUGAACCAAGUAGACCCUACCAAUUUGUAUCACCAGCCCCCAAGGAUAAAGUCUGACACACAGACAUCCAAGACUAUGGAAUAAAUGAGUGAAUUCUGAGGGAAGCAGACAAGUGGUUCUAUCUUCAUAGAGUUGUUACGGUUACUGGCAUUGAGUCAAGGAAAACCAGCCACAAAUGAUGAAACCAGGGAUUAGGGUCCAACUCAAAGGCUUCCAUGUGAGAGCUAGAACCUUCACAAAGGCAAUAAAGAAAUUAUAAAUGAAUUGAAUAAACCAGCUGACUCCAUGAGGAGCCAAUGCAUUUUCUAAGUGAAAACAGACACUCCAGCAGCCUGUAAGGAAACGUGUUUAUCUUGAAUGCACCUGGCAGAGACGACAUGGAUGGGGCUGAGCUGGUGGAAAGACCCCAUUUCUCAAACCCAGCUUUCUACGUGAAAUUAUUCAAAAGGAAACCUUAUCAAGCAGCCUUCCAGCCCAGUGUCAUCCAUCUUCCAGAGGAAUCUGGGCAUGGCUUCAAUGGAUCCUCUGCCUCAGAAUAUCCCACAAGACAACAAUUGAGGGAUCAGCGGGGGCUGUCAUCUCAUCUGAAGUCUCAACUAGGGAAGGAGCUGCUUCCAAGCUCAUUCAAGUGAUCGAUGGCAGAAUUUGGUUCCUCAUGGGCUGUUGGACUGAAGACUUUAGUUUAUCACAGUAUGCUGGCUGCAGUCCCCACUCAGUUCCUUGCCAUAAGGGCCUCUCCAUAGAGCAGCUUGGCAACAGAGCAGCUGGCUUCAUCAGAAGGAAUAAACUGAGCCUUGGUCCUAGAAGAUAGUGACUUGUCCGGGAGCAACCUAAAGAGCAGAGGCCACUGACAAUGAUCUCACCACUCUCAGAAGCAUAAGAAUGAGCCAUGGAUUCACAGUGGUGUAGCCUGAGGAGGUGAUUUGACGGAAGACAGCAGAAAUCUCAUCACUGACCCAGGAGGUGAAGGAAAUACCCAGUGUGACUCGAUGGAGCCCAAAGACUUUCCUCCCCAGCUCUUCUCCCUCCGCCUCAGCAAUUUCAAGGUCCAGGACCCUGGCCAGCAUGAGAGGAGAGAGUGGAAACUAAGACAUAAAUCAAACUUACAUCAGGAAUACAGUCACCUAUCACCAGGACCUCAGGAUGCCUGGUCAUCCCUCCAAGAACCAUGAGCACUGUUAGAGAAAAGUCACAAAAACAAUUCAACAUUAUUCCAAUUCUUGCUUGCCAUCCUGCAUUUCUUGGCCUGGAGAUUCCCUUACCCUCAAAGUCAAUGCUUCUGGAGUAAGCAGAGCAGUACCAAAUGGCUAAGGGCCCCUCUUGGAGGCUGGACCUAUAUCACAACAGUAUAUGCAUGUGAUACCUCCUAGUAUGGUGCUUAGGAGUCAGGCAGAUCUGGUUCUAACACAAACUCUGCCACCAACCAGCUGUGUGCCCUUGGUCCAGUAAGUUAACUUCUGUUUCUCCAUUUCCCCUUUGGAAUUUUAACAAUAUCAAAAUACUACCUAUUAUAUUAUACAACAAAAUAAAAUAAUGCACUUUAAA